GACGAACGCUGGCGGCGUGCUUAACACAUGCAAGUCGAACGGAAAUGCCCUGCUUUUGUGGGGUGCUCGAGUGGCGAACGGGUGAGUAACACGUGAGUAACCUGCCCAUGACUUUGGGAUAACUUCAGGAAACUGGGGCUAAUACCGGAUAGGAGCUCCUGCUGCAUGGUGGGGGUUGGAAAGUUUCGGCGGUUGGGGAUGGACUCGCGGCUUAUCAGCUUGUUGGUGGGGUAGUGGCUUACCAAGGCUUUGACGGGUAGCCGGCCUGAGAGGGUGACCGGCCACAUUGGGACUGAGAUACGGCCCAGACUCCUACGGGAGGCAGCAGUGGGGAAUAUUGCACAAUGGGCGGAAGCCUGAUGCAGCAACGCCGCGUGCGGGAUGACGGCCUUCGGGUUGUAAACCGCUUUCGCCUGUGACGAAGCGUGAGUGACGGUAAUGGGUAAAGAAGCACCGGCUAACUACGUG
Molecule: ribosomal RNA, 468 nt
Filed under: uncultured bacterium
Lineage: Bacteria
Description: partial 16S ribosomal RNA
Rfam family: Bacterial small subunit ribosomal RNA
Source: RNAcentral